Molecule: ribosomal RNA, 256 nt
Filed under: Salmonella enterica
Lineage: Bacteria; Pseudomonadati; Pseudomonadota; Gammaproteobacteria; Enterobacterales; Enterobacteriaceae
Also listed under: 3 other names
Description: partial 16S ribosomal RNA
Rfam family: Bacterial small subunit ribosomal RNA
Source: RNAcentral
AAAUUGAAGAGUUUGAUCAUGGCUCAGAUUGAACGCUGGCGGCAGGCCUAACACAUGCAAGUCGAACGGUAGCACAGAGAGCUUGCUCUCGGGUGACGAGUGGCGGACGGGUGAGUAAUGUCUGGGAAACUGCCUGAUGGAGGGGGAUAACUACUGGAAACGGUGGCUAAUACCGCAUAACGUCGCAAGACCAAAGAGGGGGACCUUCGGGCCUCUUGCCAUCAGAUGUGCCCAGAUGGGAUUAGCUUGUUGGUGA